RNAcentral lists this ribosomal RNA (253 nucleotides) under uncultured bacterium. RNAcentral describes it as "partial 16S ribosomal RNA". It matches the Rfam family "Bacterial small subunit ribosomal RNA", at positions 524 to 776 of the family's 1533-position model. The record is from RNAcentral.
UACAGAGGUCUCGAGCGUUAGGCGGAAUCACUGGGCUUAAAGCGUGUGUAGGCGGCUCGGUAAGUCCGUUGUGAAAUCCCACAGCUUAACUGUGGAACUGCUUGGUAUACUGCCAGUCUUGAGCCAGCUAGGGGCUACCGGAACAAAUGGUGGAGCGGUGAAAUGCGUAGAUAUCAUGUGGAACGCCAAUGGUGAAAACAGGUAGCUGGGGCUGUGCUGACGCUGAGACACGAAAGCCAGGGGAGCAAACGGG